UGUAGUCAUAUGCUUGUCUCAAAGAUUAAGCCAUGCAUGUCUAAGUAUAAGCAAUUAUACCGCGAAACUGCGAAUGGCUCAUUAAAUCAGUUAUCGUUUAUUUGAUAGUACCUUACUACAUGGAUAACCGUGGUAAUUCUAGAGCUAAUACAUGCUAAAAAUCCCGACUUCGGAAGGGAUGUAUUUAUUAGAUUAAAAACCAAUGCCCUUCGGGGCUCUCUGGUGAUUCAUAAUAACUUCUCGGAUCGCACGGCCUUGCGCCGGCGAUGGUUCAUUCAAAUUUCUGCCCUAUCAACUUUCGACGGCUGGGUCUUGGCCAGCCGUGGUGACAACGGGUAACGGAGGGUUAGGGCUCGACCCCGGAGAAGGAGCCUGAGAAACGGCUACUACAUCCAAGGAAGGCAGCAGGCGCGCAAAUUACCCAAUCCCGACACGGGGAGGUAGUGACAAUAAAUACUGAUACAGGGCUCUUUCGGGUCUUGUAAUUGGAAUGAGUACAAUUUAAAUCCCUUAACGAGGAACAAUUGGAGGGCAAGUCUGGUAAUCG
RNAcentral lists this ribosomal RNA (547 nucleotides) under uncultured eukaryote. RNAcentral's name for it is "SSU rRNA". It matches the Rfam family "Eukaryotic small subunit ribosomal RNA", at positions 21 to 570 of the family's 1831-position model. The record is from RNAcentral.